Molecule: ribosomal RNA, 1309 nt
Filed under: metagenome
Description: bacterial LSU rRNA
Rfam family: Bacterial large subunit ribosomal RNA
Source: RNAcentral
UUCACACUGUCAAGAAAAGCUUCUAUCGAGUUUAAAGGCGCCCGUACCGUAAACCGACACAGGUGGGUGAGGAGAGUAUCCUAAGGCCAGCGAGAGAACUAUUGUUAAGGAACUCGGCAAAAUGACCCCGUAACUUAGGGGGAAGGGGUGCCUGUCUAUGACAGGCCGCAGAGAAUAGGCCCAAGCGACUGUUUACCAAAAACACAGGCUUCUGCUAAGUCGCAAGACGAUGUAUAGGAGCUGACGCCUGCCCGGUGCUGGAAGGUUAAGGGGAUCUGUUAGAGCAAUCGAAGCAGUGAACUUAAGCCCCAGUAACGGCGGCCGUAACAAUAACGGUCCUAAGGUAGCGAAAUUCCUUGUCGGGUAAGUUCCGACCCGCACGAAAGGCGUAACGAUUUGGGCACUGUCUCAACAAUAGACUCGGUGAAAUUGUAAUCCCGGUGGAGAUGCCGGGUACCUGCGACAGGACGGAAAGACCCCAUGGAGCUUUACUGUAGCUUGACGUUGGGUCUUGGUACUACAUGUACAGGAUAGGUGGGAGACUAUGAAGCAUGGACGCCAGUCUGUGUGGAGUCAUCCUUGGGAUACCACCCUUGUAGUACUGGGAUCCUAACCAUAGGCCUUGAAUCAGGUCUUGGAACACCGUCAGGUGGGCAGUUUGACUGGGGCGGUCGCCUCCUAAAAAGUAACGGAGGCGCUCAAAGGUUUCCUCAGCACGGUCGGAAAUCGUGCGAAGAGUGUAAAGGCAAAAGGAAGCUUGAUUGCAAGACAUACAGGUCGAGCAAGGACGAAAGUCGGACUUAGUGAUCCGGUGGUACCGCAUGGAAGGGCCAUCGCUCAACGGAUAAAAGCUACCCUGGGGAUAACAGGCUUAUCUCCCCCAAGAGUCCACAUCGACGGGGAGGUUUGGCACCUCGAUGUCGGCUCAUCACAUCCUGGGGCUGUAGUAGGUCCCAAGGGUUGGGCUGUUCGCCCAUUAAAGUGGUACGCGAGCUGGGUUCAGAACGUCGUGAGACAGUUCGGUCCCUAUCCGUCGCAGGCGUAGGAAAUUUGAGAAGACCUGUCCUUAGUACGAGAGGACCGGGAUGGACGUACCUCUGGUGUACCAGUUGUUCUGCCAAGGGCAUGGCUGGGUAGCUAUGUACGGAAUGGAUAAGCGCUGAAAGCAUCUAAGCGCGAAGCCAACUUCAAGAUAAGGUUUCCCACCGUAAGGGUAAGACCCCAGGAAGACUACCUGGUUGAUAGGUCGAAGGUGUAAGUGCAGUAAUGUAUUUAGCUUAUCGAUACUAAUAGGUCGAGGACUUGACCU